RNAcentral lists this unclassified non-coding RNA (458 nucleotides) under Hevea brasiliensis (rubber tree). Lineage: Eukaryota; Viridiplantae; Streptophyta; Magnoliopsida; Malpighiales; Euphorbiaceae. The record is from RNAcentral.
GUAUAUACUGUGGCUUAUCAUAAAAAUCAACAUUUCUGUGCACUAUUUUGAAUCUUGUUACAUUUGCAUCACAUUCAGCUUCAAUUCUUCAUACCCAGCAAAUGAAAAGCUUUUUUACUUAAACUUGCAGAGGUAAUAGGUCUUACAAACCCAAUCCUCGACUUGCUCGUGUGCUCGAUAUUCUUUUCAUAUUACAUGCAGAACAUGAGAUGAAUUGCUCUACAGCUGCGGCACGUCAUCUUGCUUCAAGUGGGGUUGAUGUAUACACAGCAAUAGCAGGAGCUGUGGGAGCUUUGUAUGGCCCUCUCCAUGGGGGUGCCAAUGAGGCUGUGCUGAAAAUGCUCAGUGAGAUUGGAAGUGUUGAAAAUAUUCCAGAGUUCCUUGAGGGUGUCAAGAACAGGAAACGAAAGAUGUCUGGUUUUGGGCACCGUGUCUACAAAAACUAUGAUCCCAGAGCA